Molecule: long non-coding RNA, 625 nt
Organism: Dreissena polymorpha
Lineage: Eukaryota; Metazoa; Mollusca; Bivalvia; Myida; Dreissenidae
Exons: 3
Source: RefSeq, a predicted model, not a curated record
ACACAAUGGGGUUGGUAAACAAGGUCACCGCUUUCUUAAAUAAUUGAACCACACGUGCGGUGUGCUUUGUUUGCGCAUUUUCUGUGAAAGGAGCUAACGCCAGUAAUAUAAACGGACAGUGUAAGUGGUUUCGGCCCUGUCAGAUCAAUGAUGAGGAUUGUUGGAAGCACAUACCUGGGAACCUCCCCACGUGUGCCAGAUGACGUUAGCACACUGGUCAGACGUGAAACUGGGAAAAGUUCCCAAAGGAUUGCUUCAUAGAUUCCGAAGUUCGGGCCCAGCCAAAUUCACCGCAUCUCUGAUACAAGCGUUGACGACCUUAAGACAAGACUCGAACACUUAAACGGAAGUGUUAAUAAAUUAAUUUGUAUACUUUGAAAAUACCAUUUAUUGGUUUUUACUUAAAACUUAACAGUCGUUGGAGUAUUAUUAAAAAGAAAAAUAUGCUAAUUAAAAACAACAACAAAAAACUACAACUAACAAUGUCAUGCAUGAAAUACCCCGCCUUGCGCUGUGUCAGAGAGCGCCAAGGGCAACAAUUCUAACCAUAUCAAAGCAAAAAUUAUGGCUUUUGUGCAGUGCAUUUUCCACCAAGGAGAUCGUUUUAAAUACAAAGUUUUCAGUU